UGCAUGGCUAUCUCUCGCGUGUUCGCGAAUGUUUGCGAAUCUCUUCUUCGAGAUGAAAAGAUUGUGUCGAUAUAAUGAUAAUUUUGCAAAUUGCGGACGAAAAUGAUCGUGGGAUCAUUGUCCAACAUUGAUGAUUUAACGAAGGACGCGUGUCGAUCGCGUAGUGCGAAAUUAAUUCUCGUGAUUAAAUAACACGAUUUUUUAAAUGUAAUUAAAUGUCAUUUGUGCAAAUAUAAUUAAUAAUAAAGUGCAAUUUUAAAGUGAAAUAUGAAACGGGAACAAUAAAGACAAUGAAAGUGAUUGCAUCGAUAGUGAAUCGCAAGAAAAAUGUAAAGAAGUUGCGGCUCUUUCAAUUAUGUAUAUGAUACGAAAAAUUGAUGUCAAAACGUUGAAAUGCAAGAAAAUUUUUAGAAAACUUUACGAAGACAUGCUAUUGUAACGAAUACAAUUGUUAUAUUAUGAGGAUUUCAGAAUUCGCAAAAUAUACGUCGUCGAACUUCUGUAAUUAUUUUCUUCUUGAAGAAAGCACAGUUAUUUACAUUAGCUGUGCUUUAAAUUCAGUGAUUAAGCGAAAAAAUUCACCUAAAAGAGUACUUGAUGCUCAUGAAAAGUUGAGACGCGCAAUCGGCUUAAAAGUAAAGCGGCUUCGAUUUUAUCGGAGAUUCGAACGAGUAGUAAAUCUCACUUUAGUCAGACGACGAAUAUCGAGAAUGUAAAAAAUAUUCUGUAGUUGUAAUUUUUUUUUAAGAGAAUUUAGAUUGAUGAUCCGUAAUCUAUAAUACGAAGAGUCUAAUCAUCUUCUCUCGCUGUGUUAUGUAUUAGUUUAGAUAAAGAAAAGGGUAAAAAAUUUAUUACAAAUUUUAUAGAAAACGGAAAUGAAACAUAAUAAAAUUAUGCAUGCAAUUAAAAGAUGAUCAACAGAAGCAGAUAAUACAUUUAUGGCACUAACGUUUCAAGGAUGAGAAUCCCAAAGGUAUUAUAGGCAAGAUAAUCGCUUAUUUCAAGGUUACUUGCAAGUGGAACAACCAUUAGAAAUUUCAUCAUGAGUGUCUCUCAGAAAAAAGUCUUUCUAACAUCAACAUCGAUUCUAAACUUAUAAAAAACGCAAGAGCGUACUAUUUCCUAUUUUCUAUUUCAGUAAUAAUAUUGACAUUGCCUUUUAAAUAUCCAAUAAUAGAAAAUUUUCUGUGGAAGAAACUUUUGCGUGACAAAAAGUUUGAUUUAAACUUUAUCGAUGUGUUAUUGUAAAACGGCCUUUUAAAUUAUAUGCCUGCAAAGUUACGAAGGACGACAGGAACAAAUUUUAACAACGUCAUUUCCAACGGUAAUGGUGACACAGAAAUCUGGAUCAAUAACGCAUUUUUUGAACAGUCAUUUAAAUGUUCGCUUGGUAGUGUCGCGUAAUGAAAUUACUAGCGUCUAAUUCUAUACUGUUCUAGCAUCCGUUCGCAACUACGCGGCUAAUGAAGUUAACACGUGGUAAUUGCCCUAAGUGCAUCGGACAGGUUGAAUGCUUCUAGCAAAAGAACGGUAGAGAAAGGAUCGCGCAAACAGGAGGAGACUUCUUUGUUAUUACACAUUAUGCGAUUCGUCGAACGUCCGAUCACACAGAUUAAAUUUUGAUCAAGAAAUGGGGCAACCUUCGACGAUUCAGCGGAAUCAAUUGUGUCUCACAUGCCUAAUGAGUCACUCGCGUGAGACACGCUUGAAGCUUACCACGAAUCUUCUUUAUCUGUUGAAUUGUUAAUGUUAAUCGAAACUAAUUAACUUCCAAGAAGCAAGGAAGAAAAGGAAAGAAAGGAAGAAGAAAUUAGUUACUCAUAGGAAUCGAAGUAAGCCGGGUAAUUUUGAUGAACACUUUUUCGUUCACCAAUUUUCAUCGUUCGAGAAAAUAAAAAAGAUUCGAGAGCCAGGAUCAUCCGUAUUUUUUGACGAAAUGACAUGACGUGCGUCACGACGCGUGUCGUGCCCAUAAGAGAAUGGUAGCUAUAGCGAAAUCGUCUAAUCGAUGGAAGUCGUGACACACUCAUCUACAUACACGCAUUUGUCGACCGACUUUGCAAACUUCUACUUUUCAAACGAAAAUAGUAUGACUGAAACAAACAAAGAUAAUUUGCAACGAAAUAUUUCAUCUGCGCACGUGUGCAUCUCAACGGAUAAUAUCACAAAAGAGUGAAAAUGGAGCUGUUGCGAACUAUCUAUUCUUAGCGCGAAGCGAGUCUCUUGAUCUCUUGAUUUGUUUUUUUUUCCAUGUGAGUGGCGAUUAAACUUUUACGGAACCGUUCGCUCUGAUGGGAAAUAUCGACAUAAAGUCGCUAUUUUUUGUGUCAUAUAUUCCGAGAGGAAGUAAAUAUAAUAUGCACUAUUUGAUGUGAAAAUGAAUUAUCAAACUCAUACAGUAUUAAUUUUCGAGCCGUAACAUCGAUAAGAGAAUAAAGGUCAAAGCUUUAACGAAUGAAAUAAUUUUUCAACAAGUUUGUGCUGGAAUUUAGUAUCCAGGAUCAGGCGUUUGUCCAUAAAUAUACAUUACAUUUAUAAUCGGCGUGGAAUUAAAAUACGUGGAAUUAAAAUACGUGAGAUUUAAAUUGGAAAAUUCAACAGAAGAUUUUUAAAAAUAUAUAGGUGUUGCAAAAGAUUGCAAAAUAUUACGCGAUGGGCCGGAAACAGAAACGCCGCCUGAUACCGGAACAAGACCGUAGAAUUUGCGGUAGCAUUUGCUUCUUCCAGUUCACCUUCGUCAUCAGUUGCGUAGCUUUGGUUUAUCUCGGCGUAGCGAUCUACGCGCCGUCGUACAGAGCUUUCCACAUUGGCAUUGAGCCGGAACCGGUGAUGUGCCAAACUGUUAAUGCCUCGAUGGUGAAUAAUUGCGGCUGGGCUAGUUGCGGCGAAUGGUGUUUGACGAAGUCGAGCGGCUUUUGUCCCCAGUUUCACGCAACCGUGAGACGUAAUGGCACUGACGUGAUUUUCGAAAAUUGCACCAAGUUCAAUACAAUCGCGUGCCCUCAGGUAAACAUGGAGAACAUGAAAAGAUAUAAUUGCAACAACGGCAGCGAGUGCAGUAUGUUGACGGGGGUGUUCAACUGCAGCCUCGGACAUUGUUCAAACAUGAGCGAUCUGAUGCUUUGUCAUCACAAGGCCGACGGCAUUGUCAUCGAUAGCGAGAAGGAUAACAUGAAACUGAAUGGCUUCUUCAGCUGUCAACACUCUAGAUGCACGAAAAUCAAGAACGCUUUCAAUUGCGACCGAUACUGUCCGAGCAUUAAUACUACUGACGUGAACGUGUAUCUAAUGCAAGACGACAGUGUGAUAUCAGCCAAGUGCUCCCGUGGGAUGGCCUUGAACAGAGCGAACGGUAGCCUACCUGGUAUCAGAUUGAACGAGCCUGUUAAAAUCUGGGACGAAAAAAACAGCAGUAUCGUCGCAAGCUGUUUCGCCGUAACGAAGAAUGGCAAUGUCAUCAGCACAGAGGAUUGCGUGAAUGGUACGUUGUUGGGUGAGAUUCUGGUUCCCAAACCGUCCAUUAAUUUCACGAGUUUCCUGAAAAUUUAUGAGAAGAGCCUACGGUAUCCGGCGGACCCCACGAACGCCUAUGUUCCGGCGCAGCAAUCUUUGACUAUCUACAACAGCUCGCGAUUAUAUAUCAACCUCGAGCGUUGCGUCAACACCUUGAGAGGCGAGUGUAGACAAUUUCAGCUCACUCACGGUCGUGAUGGCGACAAUCAGACCGCGCAGAGUCGAUAUCCCUGUUAUUACAACAAGAACGACUCGUUAUUCGUGGUUGCACGUUUCGAUCUGAAGAAGACACGAAUGGAGCUGUUGAUCGCCGUUAUCGUGCCGGCUGGACUCUUCAUCAUCAGUGUGAUCACCCUGAUUAUCAUUUCGCGAUCGGUGCAGGUGGGAGACGACGCGAAGAUGCGAUGCAGAUACUGCGUUGAUAAGCAAGAGGUCGAGGGCGAAGACCAAGGCCUCGUAGAGGCAACGUCCUCCACGACUCAAAGUCAGGUCAAUGAGAACGAGAUUAGAAGUAUGACUCUUUAGCAGUACAAGCCGCUCGGCAUAGGCACUACGCUGGGUUAUGAAAAGCUGCCAUUGAUCGACAUGGACGAGGCUGAGGAUUCCUUUUAGAAGAAAAUGCGAGACCUAAUUUUCAAAAGAUCGUGAUGCUGGAAAGAUCCAUCCAAGACAAAACUCUACAGAUAAAAUCCAAAUAAGUAUUAGAUGAUUGGAAGAGAAAAUUUGCAAUUAGAGAAGGUACGUGUCAACAUAAACGGCUCGAAAGAUCACUAUCAACUUAAACAAGCUUGCGAGUUGUUUCUGAAAUAACCUACCCUACUUCGAAUAGGGCGUGCAGAGGACACGCUCGUGAUCGAUAGACAUGUACUAUCUUUUCCUAAGCACGUGGAUCAAUGGAGGCGACUUAAAGGUACGUUCUCGCUCUGGAAUAUCUCAUGAGUAGUAAUCAAAUCGAUUCUAUUUCGUAAUUAU
RNAcentral lists this unclassified non-coding RNA (4485 nucleotides) under Acromyrmex echinatior (Panamanian leafcutter ant). Its description in RNAcentral is "uncharacterized LOC105152478, transcript variant X2". Lineage: Eukaryota; Metazoa; Arthropoda; Insecta; Hymenoptera; Formicidae. The record is from RNAcentral.